RNAcentral lists this ribosomal RNA (436 nucleotides) under uncultured bacterium. Its description in RNAcentral is "partial 16S ribosomal RNA". It matches the Rfam family "Bacterial small subunit ribosomal RNA", at positions 29 to 507 of the family's 1533-position model. The record is from RNAcentral.
AACGAACGCUGGCGGCAUGCCUAACACAUGCGAGUCGAACGAUGGUCUUCGGAUCAUAGUGGCGCACGGGUGCGUAACGCGUGGGAAUCUGCCCUUGGGUUCGGAAUAACAGUUGGAAACGACUGCUAAUACCGGAUGAUGUCGAUAAGACCAAAGAUUUAUCGCCCGAGGAUGAGCCCGCGUCGGAUUAGCUAGUUGGUGGGGUAAAGGCCUACCAAGGCGACGAUCCGUAGCUGGUCUGAGAGGAUGAUCAGCCACACUGGGACUGAGACACGGCCCAGACUCCUACGGGAGGCAGCAGUGGGGAAUAUUGGACAAUGGGCGCAAGCCUGAUCCAGCAAUGCCGCGUGAGUGAUGAAGGCCUUAGGGUUGUAAAGCUCUUUUACCCGGGAAGAUAAUGACUGUACCGGGAGAAUAAGCCCCGGCUAACUCCGUG